AAAUUGAAGAGUUUGAUCAUGGCUCAGAUUGAACGCUGGCGGCAGGCCUAACACAUGCAAGUCGAACGGUAACAGGAAGCAGCUUGCUGCUUCGCUGACGAGUGGCGGACGGGUGAGUAAUGUCUGGGAAACUGCCUGAUGGAGGGGGAUAACUACUGGAAACGGUGGCUAAUACCGCAUAACGUCGCAAGACCAAAGAGGGGGACCUUCGGGCCUCUUGCCAUCAGAUGUGCCCAGAUGGGAUUAGCUUGUUGGUGAGGUAACGGCUCACCAAGGCGACGAUCCCUAGCUGGUCUGAGAGGAUGACCAGCCACACUGGAACUGAGACACGGUCCAGACUCCUACGGGAGGCAGCAGUGGGGAAUAUUGCACAAUGGGCGCAAGCCUGAUGCAGCCAUGCCGCGUGUAUGAAGAAGGCCUUCGGGUUGUAAAGUACUUUCAGCGGGGAGGAAGGUGUUGUGGUUAAUAACCGCAGCAAUUGACGUUACCCGCAGAAGAAGCACCGGCUAACUCCGUGCCAGCAGCCGCGGUAAUACGGAGGGUGCAAGCGUUAAUCGGAAUUACUGGGCGUAAAGCGCACGCAGGCGGUCUGUCAAGUCGGAUGUGAAAUCCCCGGGCUCAACCUGGGAACUGCAUUCGAAACUGGCAGGCUUGAGUCUUGUAGAGGGGGGUAGAAUUCCAGGUGUAGCGGUGAAAUGCGUAGAGAUCUGGAGGAAUACCGGUGGCGAAGGCGGCCCCCUGGACAAAGACUGACGCUCAGGUGCGAAAGCGUGGGGAGCAAACAGGAUUAGAUACCCUGGUAGUCCACGCCGUAAACGAUGUCUACUUGGAGGUUGUGCCCUUGAGGCGUGGCUUCCGGAGCUAACGCGUUAAGUAGACCGCCUGGGGAGUACGGCCGCAAGGUUAAAACUCAAAUGAAUUGACGGGGGCCCGCACAAGCGGUGGAGCAUGUGGUUUAAUUCGAUGCAACGCGAAGAACCUUACCUGGUCUUGACAUCCACGGAAGAAUUCAGAGAUGGAUUUGUGCCUUCGGGAACCGUGAGACAGGUGCUGCAUGGCUGUCGUCAGCUCGUGUUGUGAAAUGUUGGGUUAAGUCCCGCAACGAGCGCAACCCUUAUCCUUUGUUGCCAGCGAUUAGGUCGGGAACUCAAAGGAGACUGUCAGUGAUAAACUGGAGGAAGGUGGGGAUGACGUCAAGUCAUCAUGGCCCUUACGACCAGGGCUACACACGUGCUACAAUGGCGCAUACAAAGAGAAGCGACCUCGCGAGAGCAAGCGGACCUCAUAAAGUGCGUCGUAGUCCGGAUUGGAGUCUGCAACUCGACUCCAUGAAGUCGGAAUCGCUAGUAAUCGUGGAUCAGAAUGCCACGGUGAAUACGUUCCCGGGCCUUGUACACACCGCCCGUCACACCAUGGGAGUGGGUUGCAAAAGAAGUAGGUAGCUUAACCUUCGGGAGGGCGCUUACCACUUUGUGAUUCAUGACUGGGGUGAAGUCGUAACAAGGUAACCGUAGGGGAACCUGCGGUUGGAUCACCUCCUUACCUUAAAGAA
This 1552-nucleotide ribosomal RNA is filed under the name Salmonella enterica subsp. enterica serovar Mbandaka. RNAcentral describes it as "bacterial SSU rRNA". It matches the Rfam family "Bacterial small subunit ribosomal RNA". RNAcentral also lists the same sequence under 2 other names. The record is from RNAcentral. Lineage: Bacteria; Pseudomonadati; Pseudomonadota; Gammaproteobacteria; Enterobacterales; Enterobacteriaceae.